RNAcentral lists this RNase P RNA (438 nucleotides) under Anaerolineales bacterium. RNAcentral's name for it is "RNase P RNA component class A". It matches the Rfam family "Bacterial RNase P class A". From Rfam's summary of the family: Ribonuclease P (RNase P) is a ubiquitous endoribonuclease, found in archaea, bacteria and eukarya as well as chloroplasts and mitochondria. The record is from RNAcentral. RNAcentral also lists the same sequence under 1 other name. Lineage: Bacteria; Bacillati; Chloroflexota; Anaerolineae; Anaerolineales.
CAGGUUGAUCGGGCAAUCGCGGUCCUGCGUUGUCGGGAUCGAGGAAAGUCCGCACUCCAUAGAGCACGACGUCGGAUAGCACCCGGGACGGGAAACCGCCGAGAGGCGUGAACCUGCCGGAAAAGGGCCACAGAAACAAACAGCCGCCCCGCCCUUACGGGCGGACGGUGAUGGUGAAAAGGUGGUGUAAGAGACCACCGGCGUUUGCAGUAAUGCAGGCGGCCAGGUAACCCCCGUCGGGAGCAAGGCCAAGCAGGGGCGAAAUCGUCUGUGGACGAUGGGAGACUGCUCGUCUCCGCACGUGCUCCUUCCAACCGUGGGAGGAGCCAGCCCCGGGUAGGCUGCACCGAGCAGCGCGGCGACGCGCUGCCCAGAGAGAUGGUUGCACAGAUGGCGCAAGCCAUUGGACAGAAUGCGGCUUAUAGAUCGGCCUGAGGU